This is an RNA transcript of Amphiprion ocellaris (clown anemonefish), 6328 nucleotides long. It is a transcript of the gene named synaptotagmin X, with no coding region annotated. The record is from RefSeq and is a predicted model, not a curated record. The transcript has 8 exons. Lineage: Eukaryota; Metazoa; Chordata; Actinopteri; Pomacentridae.
AGCAAUAAUCCCGUUACUGACACCAACCGACAGUGUCAACCCGACGCGCCUCGCUAUUGGACGCAGUGGGGGCUGGACUCGUGCACUCCCGCCAGCUGUUCUCCAAACGCAGGGAGCGCGUGUGGCCAGUCGCUCCUCGGUGCGCGCCGGAUAUGGAUCAGGACGCAGCGCGCCUCCCCGCUGUCUGCCGCGGACAGGCUGCACUCCGCGGCGUAUAAACGGCUGUCCAGAUGAACCGUCGCCCUACCGGCUCCUCCGGCGUGCAAUGGCUUAACAGGAGAGACAUGAGUGUCCGGACGGAUGACAGCAUCACCUUGUGCCAGAGGGCUCUCCAAAUCGUUACGGAACUUUGUCUCACGGGACACGUCGACCGGGAGAAAUGCUCGGAUAUAUUCCCGCUGGAGAGCAACAUACUAGGUAAAGGACAUGCAGACAUCUCUAUUAGUCUCCUUGCUGUGGUCGUGGGUUUCUGUGGCCUCGCCCUGUUGGUAGUCUCUCUCUUUGUGUUUUGGAAGCUGUGUUGGCCCAUUUGGAGGAGUAAGGCUCUGCCGGCCCACGCCGAAAAUGGCCUCCGCGUGGGUUUCCCCGAUGUCCCUCCGCCCAACCCCACGGCGGUCACCGAGUGCAAAGCGGCCGAGGCGGAGAAGAAGUACCCGCUGGAGGUGAAGGUGAACGGACGGAGCUCUGUCAAGCUCCUGGAGGCAGCCAUGAAGAUCAGCCAGACGUCUCCAGACAUCCCUGCCCAGGUGCAAACAGCCCUGAGGGAGAAGCUGAGCCAGCAGGUGAAGAUCCAGAGGCAGACCACCGAGCCGACCUCCUCCUCCAGGCACAAUUCAUUCCGCCGCCACCUGCCUCGUCAGAUGAAUGUCACCAGUUUUGAUUUCAGCAUGGACACAGUGCCUCUCCGCCAGUCCUCUACAGUGAGCAUUGGAAGAAUAAAACCUGAGCUCUACAAGCAGAAGUCUGUGGACUCAGAGGACGAGGCCAAAGAGCCCGUGGAGACGUGUGGAAAGCUGAGCUUCUCGCUUCGCUACGACUACGAGGAGCAAGCUUUGGUGGUGAGGAUCCUCAAGGCCUUAGACCUGCCUGCCAAAGACUUCACAGGCACCUCCGACCCCUACGUGAAGAUCUACCUGCUGCCUGAGAGGAAGAAGAAGUUCCAGACCCGAGUCCACCGCAAGAAUCUGAACCCCAUGUUUGACGAGACCUUCUCUUUCCCCGUGGUGUACGACGAGCUGUGCAACCGCAAGCUGCAUUUCAGCGUCUACGACUUCGAUCGAUUCACGAGCCAUGAUAUGAUUGGUGAGGUGGUGGUGGACAACCUCUUUGAACUCUCUGAUCUUUCCAGGGAGGCGGUGGUCUGGAAGGAUAUUCACGCAGCUACGACGGAGAGUAUUGACCUGGGAGAGAUCAUGUACUCGUUGUGUUAUCUCCCCACAGCAGGGAGAAUGACCCUGACAGUCAUCAAAUGCAGGAACCUCAAAGCCAUGGACAUCACAGGCUCUUCGGAUCCGUAUGUGAAGGUUUACCUAAUAUGUGAUGGACGGAGGUUAAAGAAGCGAAAAACAACCACCAAGAAAAGCACACUUAAUCCAGUGUACAACGAGGCCAUCAUCUUCGACAUUCCCCCAGAGAAUGUGGAACAAGUCAGUCUGUCCAUCAUGGUGAUGGAUUACGAUCGGGUUGGACAUAAUGAGGUGAUUGGUGUGUGUCGCACUGGGCCGGAGGCUGAGGGCCUUGGACGAGAUCACUGGAACGAAAUGUUGGCUUACCCUCGGAAACCCAUCACACACUGGCAUGCUCUGGGAGAGUACUCAAAAGUGUAAGGACAUUCAUCACGUUUUUGCGAUGGAUGGAUGGAUGGACGGAUGGACGGAUGGACGGAUGGACGGAUGGAUGGAUACUUUACUAAUCCCGAGGGAAAUUCAAAUAGCUAAGUGGCCCGGAAGAGCAGCAAGCUUUGAGAGUCAAGGUUCGUGUCCUUCACCCAAACCUCCACAGACUCCCUGAUGACCGUGGGGAGAGUCAGAACAUCACCUCUGUAAGAAAGCGGACGUUUGUUUAGUUUCUGAGAAGUUCUGUUGCCUAUCACUCGCUUGAGAGCAUGUUGUAUGAAAACUAAAUUCAAUCCGAUGUGUUUCUUAUGUGGUUGUGCUACCAUUUUAUGUAUUCAUUCAAAUGCAAGUUUUUCAAAGUGCUCUACAGAGCUGGCUAUGCACAGCACUCAGUCACUCAGUUCAAGCGUUAGUUUUUCAUACACUUGCUUCAAAAUUGUUCAUUUACCAACCAUUUACGCAGACCACAUGAAUGGUAGGCCUCACGUCAACAAGUCCUUAGCAACUGUAUCAAACAAUUCAAUAAUUUGAGUGACAUUUUUCUAGCCCUAGAGCUCUUUAAUGUGUUCCCAUUUUACUUUGAAAUGGCACAAAGCUAAAGGGCUAUGCUGCUCAGUGCCAUGAAUCCAUGUACUCUGAAAACACUCAAUAAAUCCAGUGAGUCGUGAUCCAGGUUUUAGUUGAAAAAAAACUGCAGGUAACUGAAGGGCUGUGUGAAUCUCUCAGAAAAUCCACCAGUCACAGCAAGACUCAUAUUUAGAGAAACAGUAGCAGAUACAUGUAGCAAACAAAUGUACAGAGAGGUUAACAACAAUCAAAUGAACGUGUCUUUGUAAUCACUUCAUAGUAAAGUUGUUCUACAAACCCGGCUGAACCAUACAAAAACUUAAAAAUGACAAAUUCAGAUUUAUUUUUGUACACACCAGUUCGAUUUAUGUUCAGUAUUAGAAAAAGCCGGAGUUAUACUUUAAAGUUCCCUCAUAUUGCAACUGAAAGUGACGUACUUCUCAUGAACACUGGUAUGUAGGUCAUGAUUUGGCUCUAAAUUCUCUGGAUAUCUGGGGUGAUCAUUAUGAUCUUUACCAACAACUACUUGUGGUAACCAAAUGGGCAAUAUUCCACAAUACAGAAUCUGGUCCUGUCCUUUACUACGCAAUGCAAGAUUUCAGGCGAACAUUAGCAGCUCUGUUGAAUUGAAUGAAAUUUACACCAGUCAGCCACAACAACAAAACCACAGGUACAGAAAUGUUAUUCACUUUACCUGUAAAGAGCAGUCAUUGAAAUACUUUGAAAUUCAAAAUUUCAACCCUAGAGUGUUAUUGGAGGACAUAACAAGACUUUUUUUUACUUUUGGGACAUUGGAAUUCAAGGUCAAUGAAGUUACCAUAUAUGGUUUCUUGCCCAUUCAUGGUAAAAAACAUUCCAAGAAACGUAUAUAUCUUCACUUAGCACAACUACUCAACCGUAAAAUGUGUGAGGUUAGUUUUGAGUUUCAACUGCAAAUAUGGAAGAGGAAGUUGAUACGUUCCAGGCCUCUGCUGAUUGGUCAAAUGCCAUGAUGUAGUGUAGUGUGCUGUAACGUAGAGUGAUCUUCGUUGAUUGGCUGGGUGAAAACUACAUGCUUCCAUAUUUAAUGUGUGUGGAAGUUACCACAUAUGAUCACUUGCCCGAUAAAGCGUAAACAUCUUGCUAAAUGUAAUGGGGGGGGUCAUGUGGUCCAAGUCUUGAAACGAAUGUGCUGAAAGAAGAAAAACAUGAGCAGUGGAAAGAUCUGAGAGACUUUGACAAGAGUCAGAUUAGCAUUACGAUGAUAUUUCAGGUAAUGUUCUGCUGGGAAACCUUGGGUCUUGCAGUUAUGGUUAUUUUUCUUUGACAAGGACCACCUACAUAAGCAUUGUUGCAGACAAUGGUACAUGAUUUGCACAUAGAUAGUGCUUUUCCAUCUUGACGGUACUCAAAGUGCAAAGGCUUUACAAUGUUUUCUCAUUCAUCCACGGUGGCAGAGCUGCUUUGCAAGGAGCUGCUGACAUAAAAAUGCUUGCCUGCAUCAAACCACCAACCUUGCAAUUAUUGGACGACUCACUCUUCCACCUGAGCCACAGCAGUCACAGUGCACAAUUCCAGGAAAGCAGUUGUAUUCUCUGAUAGUAGUGGCCUCUUUCAGCUUAAUAAUGCAACAAACAAACAUUUUUGAACCAUCUGCUGCUAACGUUUUGGUGUCUGAUGCCACAAGACACCUUCAGAGGUCUGGCGAAGUCCAGGCCUCAUAGGAUCAGUGCUGUUUUGGUGGCAUGAGAUGGAUUUACAUAAGAUGGUGGUUUUAAUGUUGUGGCUGAUGGAUGAGUAACGGGCAAACAUCUGUGAUGCCAUUAUGUUUGCCAAACAAACUGGUUUGUCCUCUAUUUUAUUUCAUGAGGCGAUAUUAAAAGUGAAGGAGAAGAGUUUGGACGUAAACACAACGAUGCAUAAAUCUGACCUCUAUCUUGCUUAUGAGCUCAUGUUUGGCACUUUAUCAGACUACUCAAAUAAAAGGUAGCCUUGUCUGACAUUUGUCGUUAAUAUACUUUGCAAAUUACAAAUACAUGACUAACUGGGUCAAUAUAUAAUUGCGGGAUCAAUUUUGUAUCAUAGUUGACAUUUUUGCUGUUUUCAGGCCUAAAAUCAACAUGGCUGCCUAUAACCAAACACCACAUGGCAUUUUUACAGAAAGAUUCUUCUAAAUAUUAUAUAUACAACUGAGUAAAAUUGAAAUUGAAAGUUAUUUAUAAAGACAUUGUAGUAAACCUGUUGACAUGCUAUAAAUCCACACCUGACUCACACACUACUUUAUAUUAAAUAACUCAGAAAGCCUUGGAGUCUUUCCAGUCUUUUCUUCAGUAGGAAAUGACUUCAUGUGGAGCAGGUCAUGUGAUCUGGAAUUAACACACUUCCUUGAGAUGUGUUUUUGUAAUGGAUAACUUAGCUGAAAGUGAUACAAUUUGUUAUUUUCCCUAUAAAAUGUGAUAUAUUGCCAAAAAAGAAACAUCUGUCAUGAUGAUCUCAACUUAAAAACAAGAACACAAUCAAAACUAUUUCUGAAUAAUCUCAUUUUAUUGUUUAUCUAAUUAGAAGGUGGUUGUUAUUAAAUUCGGACGGUUAUUUAGUUGACAUUGUAGUGAUAUCCAGUCAUUUUUUAUUAAUAAGUGAUUCCUUAAUAAAUAAUUAUGGAAUUUGUAAAAACAUCAUAAUGAACAUAAAAAGCAUUAGUUUUUUUUUACUUUUAAUAAACAUGUAUCCAAGAUAUAUCCCAUGGACUUCAAAAGUCCCUCAAUUAUAUACUGACCCAACUAAGCUCUACACUGGAGUAAAAGAACAAUGCAUUUUCUUCAUCAUAUAUGUAGCAGUCCGGUGCAUAUCUAAGACCCCUACAUUAUGUGGAGUUUUUAUCUUAAAAAUAAUAACUAACAAGCUGGCUUCAGCUGGUAUUUCAGGUGACACAAAUGAGGAGCUGGCUUUCUGAAAUCGAGAACCCACUGUUUAAAAAAACCUUCUUAAACACUGCUGUAUUGCUUAACAGUGGCAACACCAGUAGCUAAGGAGGAGUGAAUGUUAGCAAACAGUUAUUUGCCAACAUAAAUCAAUGUAUGCAGUACAUCAAUCUCAACUUACACACUUGAGAGAGAAUAAACUCUAUUGUACAUCGUUUCCUCUGCAGCUGUAAAUUCAGGGAAUUAAAGUCCAUAAACUACACAGAAUCUACCAUUUGCAGAUGUUAUGUAUGUUUUCCAUUGAGCCAUAUGAAAUUAAGUUCAGUGCAUCGAACACGAAACAUCGACUCAGCUUCUCUUUACACGUGAAUAAUAAGAAACUAAUAAGAAAUCAACAUAGCAAAUAGAAAAAGGCUAUGUACUGUUAUCUUACUUGCACAUGCAGUUAAUGAUGUUUUUUCCCCUGCUCUGCCCUUAAUAUGAAAAAGAAAUAUUUUUACUUGUAGCAUGCCUGUCACCACUUAAAAAAAAAUGUUAUUGAGGGAAAAUGUGACUAAUGAGUAUGUUAUGAGUAUUUGAUAUUUUGAUCUUUGUGUUUACAGUUGUAUGUAUAUACUUGUCAAUGGCACUGUUUGUACAUAUUGAAAAGUGAAGAAGUUGUCGUAAACUUAUGGAAAUAGAGACAUCACAAUGUAUUUCUAUUGUUUGGUGAUACUUUGAAAAAGCUCAGACUUGUAAUCGAGUGAAAUUUAUUCUGUGAUAGUUGUGAACAACUGGUCAAACUGGAAACACAGUGAAGCCAACUCUACCUUACCAAGUUAUUCCAUGUUUAGGAGUUUAGAGCUUUGAGCUGUAAUCAUUUGCCUAUUGGUUGAAUCUAUAUGGAGCAAGAACAACUGCAACUACUGUCAUGAUGUGUACAGUUUGUGAUAACUUUUGUAACAAUUUAAAGUAAACAUUUGGGAUAUCAGUUAUUGUAUCUGUUUCAUAUGUAUUUUAACAACAUAAAUAAAAAAUGAACAGUCA